GACGAACCGUGCAAACGUUAUUCGGAAUCACUGGGCUUAAAGGGCGCGUAGGCGGGCCGCCAGGUCCGGGGUGAAAGCCUCCAGCUCAACUGGAGAAGUGCCUUGGAUACCGGCGGCCUCGAGGGAGGCAGGGGCGUGCGGAACUUCGGGUGGAGCGGUGAAAUGCGUAGAUAUCCGAAGGAACACCGGUGGCGAAAGCGGCGCGCUGGACCUCUACUGACGCUGAGGCGCGAAAGCCAGGGGAGCAAACGGGAUUAGAUACCCCGGUAGUCCUGGCCCUAAACGUUGGGUACUAGGUAGCGGCCUUACAUGGGGUCGCUGCCGAAGCAAAAGUGUUAAGUACCCCGCCUGGGGAGUAUGGUCGCAAGGCUGAA
RNAcentral lists this ribosomal RNA (374 nucleotides) under uncultured bacterium. RNAcentral's name for it is "bacterial SSU rRNA". It matches the Rfam family "Bacterial small subunit ribosomal RNA", at positions 524 to 898 of the family's 1533-position model. The record is from RNAcentral.